RNAcentral lists this ribosomal RNA (154 nucleotides) under Filoreta marina. Its description in RNAcentral is "5.8S ribosomal RNA". It matches the Rfam family "5.8S ribosomal RNA". Rfam says of the family: 5.8S ribosomal RNA (5.8S rRNA) is a component of the large subunit of the eukaryotic ribosome. It is transcribed by RNA polymerase I as part of the 45S precursor that also contains 18S and 28S rRNA. Lineage: Eukaryota; Endomyxa. The record is from RNAcentral.
CUUGUAGCGGUGGAUGUCUUGGUUCUGGGAACGAUGAAGAACGCAGUGAAGUGCGAUAAGUAAUGCGAAUUGCAAAACUCAGUGAAUCAUCGAAAUUUUGAACGCUCAUGGCGCUUGGGGCAUCCCGCUCCAAGCAUGCUUCUUUGAGUGCCUG